CCUCCACACAUGCACACCUGCACUCACACACACAGAAGCACAUGUGUAUACCAUGAACUGAGUGCCUUCAAGAGGAAUUUGUUUUGUCACAGUCUUGAAAAUGAUUUUGGAGUCAUGGGGGCCAGAAGGUUGCUGUCUAGGGAGGGUACUCUCAGGUUGCAGAUGGCCAUACUCUUGCUGAAUCCUCAGGUGGUUGAACGAUUUCAUUUUGAGAUCGCCAGCCCUAUGAGACUAUGACCUCAUUUCAUCUAAGUCCCCAUCAGCUUUAUCUCCAAAUAUGGCAGUUUGCAUUAGGGGUUAAGUUCUGACCUCUGAAAGGGGAACACACCUAGGUACUAAUGGUCAGACUUUAGACAGUGUCUGCAGUUAAAGAAUGCUUGAGAUCAAGGACACAGAGAAGGAACAGCAAAGACCUGGCACCGGCAUUUCCCAGGAAUUCACAAGGAACCAAUGAAGUGAAUGCCCGGGAGGAGGGUUUCAAGGGGACAUUCUGAAUACUGUCCACUCUUGCCAACCUGCCUGUCACUCUUCACAAGUAGAAAGGUCAGUGGGAGCUUAGUGAUCACUGAAGCUGGAAGGACCAAACCCAGAACAGAAUUGUUGAAGUACGAAUGUGUGGUGGAAACUUAGAAUCCGGAGAAUAUAUGAGUUUUGAAGAUUUUGACUCCGAAGGAGCCUGAGAAAUGAUAGCACAAUAGGUGGAGGGGACUGAGAAGUUUAAAGGAAGGUUUUGUUUUUGUGUUCAAGGUUAGAGGCUUAACUGGAGCAUUUCCUCAAGAUAGCUCAUAAACAGCAAACAAGAAUCAGAUACAGAAAGCAAAUAACACACUAGGAAUGGGCAAAAUAUUAUGUAAAUGUGUUUUUUUUUUUUGAGGAAGAGGAGGAGGAGGGUUCUUUUGUCAGGCUGUCCUGGAGCUCACAGAGACCUUCUACCUCCCAAGUCCCUUUACUGGGACUAAAGGUGUGUGCUACCACACUCUGUAACACCCUCUUCUGACCUCAGCAGGUACCCACACUCACACAUGCACAUAUUCACACAGACACAUACAUAGAAUUUACUAAAAAGUAAAUCUUUUUUUAAUUGCUACUAAUUAUUUGGGAAAUACAAAGCAGUAUUAGUAAUCUAAUGAAAAUUUAAGACAAAGAUAUUGAUCUUUAUAGUUUUAAUGUCAGAAUCUAAACCAAUGUGUUCUUUUGUUUUUCAAGGUUGGAAUACACACUAAAGCAUGGUUUAUUGCUGGUAUCUUCAUACUGGUGACGGUACAAGUGUCCUUCUGGGGGAUUCUGCAACACUUGGUGCAUUUCCCCCAACCCAAACUUCAAAAACCUAUUAUAAGGAUUCUUUGGAUGGUCCCAAUAUACAGUUUAUGUAGUUGGUUGGCGUUAAAAUUCCCCAAAGUUGGAAUAUAUACUGAUACCUGCAGAGACUGCUAUGAAGCUUACACCAUUUAUAACUUUAUGACCUUCCUUACCAAUAAUUUAACAA
Molecule: long non-coding RNA, 1486 nt
Organism: Peromyscus eremicus (cactus mouse)
Lineage: Eukaryota; Metazoa; Chordata; Mammalia; Rodentia; Cricetidae
Exons: 3
Source: RefSeq, a predicted model, not a curated record